UGGGCUGUUGGUUAAGAUUGCCUUUUGCUCUUAGUGAAGUGUCAACAUCAAGGGAGCUGAGUUCCUGGGGCAAGGUCACUCUGCCUGUUUCAAUGAACUGUCAGUGGGCUAUCCUCUUUCUCUCUUCCUGGUGGAUGCCAAUUGUCAUGUUGCAGGAUCGUUCCAUGUCAUGGAAUCGCUCUGUGCAGAUGUCCAGGUAACAAGAGACCUAAACCAGCCAACAGUUCUGAAAGUGAGUUUAAAAGUGGACAAUUUCCCUCCAGUGGAGCUUUUAGAUGUGUCCAUAGCCCCUGCCAACACUAUAACUAUAAAACUGUAACAGACUUUGAGCCAGAGGGAACCAAGGGACACCUGGAUUCCUCACCCUCAGAAACUGGGAUAAUAAGUGUUUGCUUUCUUAAACCAUUAAAAGAGCAAAGACAACAGUUGGUGGAAAAUCUCUCAUGUUACCCGGUGAGAUCAGUAGCUUUCUGAAUAGUUGUAAGUGUGGGAAAAUACUACAACUAAAGGAAAGUAGCGAUAUGUGGUAUAACAUCAAAUGAAAUGUAAGAGCUGCUUGAAACAACUCAUUGCAAAAUAUGAGAGGUCUGUGGAUCUCUGCCUCCAGCUGGAAGAAUCACUUGAGGAAAAAUGUGACAAAGAAAAACUAUGUUUUCUGCUCCUUUUCUGCUCAACGAGUUCAAAACUGAAGCAAAGCCAUUCUUAGGAGAGGAUUCAAUCAGGGAACAUGUCAAAGGUGCUUGGAUGUAAUCCCCUAUGCCCACCAUUCUUUCUUCAGGAAAAGUCUUUUAUGGAUGAUACAGAUUUGAGGCAAGGAGGCUGGGG
Lutra lutra (Eurasian river otter) is the source of this 825-nucleotide long non-coding RNA. RefSeq lists it as uncharacterized. The transcript has 3 exons. NCBI's taxonomy places the organism in Eukaryota, Metazoa, Chordata, Mammalia, Carnivora, Mustelidae. The record is from RefSeq and is a predicted model, not a curated record.